RNAcentral lists this ribosomal RNA (465 nucleotides) under Vreelandella stevensii. Its description in RNAcentral is "partial 16S ribosomal RNA". It matches the Rfam family "Bacterial small subunit ribosomal RNA", at positions 338 to 795 of the family's 1533-position model. The record is from RNAcentral. Lineage: Bacteria; Pseudomonadati; Pseudomonadota; Gammaproteobacteria; Oceanospirillales; Halomonadaceae.
CCUACGGUGUGCUGCAGUGGGGAAUAUUGGACAAUGGGCGAAAGCCUGAUCCAGCCAUGCCGCGUGUGUGAAGAAGGCCUUCGGGUUGUAAAGCACUUUCAGUGGGGAAGAAAGCCUUGGGGCUAAUACCCUCGAGGAAGGACAUCACCCACAGAAGAAGCACCGGCUAACUCCGUGCCAGCAGCCGCGGUAAUACGGAGGGUGCGAGCGUUAAUCGGAAUUACUGGGCGUAAAGCGCGCGUAGGCGGUCUGAUAAGCCGGUUGUGAAAGCCCCGGGCUCAACCUGGGAACGGCAUCCGGAACUGUCAGGCUAGAGUGCAGUAGAGGAAGGUAGAAUUCCCGGUGUAGCGGUGAAAUGCGUAGAGAUCGGGAGGAAUACCAGUGGCGAAGGCGGCCUUCUGGACUGACACUGACGCUGAGGUGCGAAAGCGUGGGUAGCAAACAGGAUUAGAUACCCGGGUAGUC